GAUGAACGCUGGCGGCGUGCCUAAUACAUGCAAGUCGAGCGAACGGACGAGAAGCUUGCUUCUCUGAUGUUAGCGGCGGACGGGUGAUUAACACGUGGAUAACCUACCUAUAAGACUGGGAUAACUUCGGGAAACCGGAGCUAAUACCGGAUAAUAUUUUGAACCGCAUGGUUCAUAAGUGAAAGACGGUCUUGCUGUCACUUAUAGAUGGAUCCGCGCUGCAUUAGCUAGUUGGUAAGGUAACGGCUUACCAAGGCAACGAUGCAUAGCCGACCUGAGAGGGUGAUCCGCCAAAACGGAACUUAGGCCAGGGCCCGACUCCUACGGGAGGCAGGAGGAGGGAAUCUUCCGCAAUUGGCGAAAGCCUUACGGAGCAACGCCGCGGUAGUGAUGAAGGGCCUCGGAUCGGUAAACUCUGUUAGUAGGGAAGAACAUAUGUGUAAGUAACUGUGCACAUCUUGAAGGUAACUAAUCAGAAAGGCACGGCUAACUUCGGU
Molecule: ribosomal RNA, 497 nt
Filed under: uncultured bacterium
Lineage: Bacteria
Description: partial 16S ribosomal RNA
Rfam family: Bacterial small subunit ribosomal RNA
Source: RNAcentral